CCUCUGGGGAUUGCGGGUUGGGCGUGCCCGCGCUGGUGCAGAGCGUGUGGGUGUGUGCUGCGUGGCGGUGAGGUGUGUCCACGCUGACGCGUGCUGAAGUCAGACCCACCUCCCUCGAAUUCCAGCGAAACCCCUCCCUGGCUCUGCGGCCUUCCCCAAGUUGCCUAACGUCGCGCAGCACCUGGAAACCGCGGGUAAUGCGAGUGACUUCCUCCGAGUGGCUGGCAGGCUGAUCUCGGCCUUGGCGCAGGCGAGGCGGGGUGGGGGUGCACUGCCCGCAUCCCUAGGCCUCAGCCGCCCCUGGAGGAGGGCCAGGCCGGUGGAGGCGGGGCAGACUGGAGCUGGGCCUGCUGCGUUGCGGGAGGGAGGGUCGAAGCAGGGCAGGCUCCGCUGGGCAUGGUGCUAAAAUAUUUCUCUACUCAGGCCAGUGUCAUAAAUACCGGUUUGAUUUAGGGUGAGCUCCUAGUCCUGCCUCCGGGAAAGGCCAGGUGGUGGUGGCACCGGGCGGGACAGCAGGUGACCAGAGGGACCGGGCUCUCCCCUUCGGAAGCCUGCCCCUGGGGCCUGGUGCUGAGGAGUUGAGAAGCCAGCCCCUGCGCAGCUGGCUGUGUUGCCUGCCCUUGCUGCCUCCAAUCCUGGGGGGGACUGCUGUCCAGAGGCGCCCAGGAGGAGAGGAGUUAGCCACACUGCACCCUGCCUGCCUCCCGCCCCACUUCCUGCAUCUCAUGGACUUGGGCUGGGGUGGGGGGAUCCCCAUCAUCUGCCCACCCAUCCCCUCUGCUCUGCAGCGGCCCUUUGGUUGGUUGGUUUGUGAUGGUGCUGGAGAGUCAACUCAGGGCCUUUUCUCUGAGCCAGAUCCUCAGAGCGGUUCACGUUUUUGUAUUUUUGAACACAGCCGCUUUACGUUGCCUACGUGAAACUCAAACUUGUGAUCCUUCUGCCCCGGCCUCCCUGAGUGCUGGGAUUGCAGGUGUGUGCUAUCACAUUGGGGUGUUGUCUGCCUGUUCUUCCAAAAUUCCUGUCUUGCCUGGCUCAACCCUUUUGUGGCUUCUUUCUUGGUAAGUCAGCUUACGGUUCUCCCUGUAUACAGGCAGAUUCAUACACUCACGCACACACACACAGAAAGGACAGGCCUGCACACACAUAUGCCCUGGUGCGCGCACACAGACACAUCCCUGGUUUCCAGGGAAGCCCAGCCCAACCCUUCCUCACUCUGUGAUCCCCUUCCCAGGGCAAGUCACCCCACUGUGACAGCAUAGUUCUCUCCAUAAAGAGUAAAACUGCAGACAGCGUAGGGAGGCCGGGUCCAGGGUGGUCUCGGUGGGUGCCCUGGGUCCUGCAGGACCCUCCCAAAACAGGCACAAGGGAGCACGUGUCACUGGAAGAAAGGACACAGCACCUCGCACACUGUGAUCUCACCAAAAUCCAAACGUACCAGGCCGUACCUGGAGCCACUGCUGGGGGAACUCACAGCGGACAGAAGGGUACAUGAGACCAGCGUGCAUCCCACCAAAAGCAGUGUACGGAACCCCUACAGGACAAACCACCUGUCUUCUUCCACAAACAUAACUUAGGGGAAAAAAUGAAAGGGAAAGGAGACACACACCAGCGAAAUGUAGCCUGUGGAUUUUAGACUGAUUUGAAGAAUGUGGCGGUUGAAAAAAAAAAUAACAAAGAAACCAGGCAUGGUGACCUGUGCCUGUAAUCCCAGUGUCCUGGGAGACUGAGGCAGGUGAAUCACAAGUUUGAGCCCCAUUUAGCAAGACUGUGUCAAAAUAAAAAGUAAACUAGGUGUGCUUAUCAUCCCAGCACCCGAAAGGGGGUGUUUGUGCCAUUUUCUCUGUGUCUAUUUGGGGUUCUAACAGAAGAAAUAGAGGGCUUGGCUUGACAUGUUCUGCCGCCACCGAGCUCCCAGCAGCCACUGAGAUGGGAUCACAAGUGUCAGGCCCUGGUAAGGCUGUGACACAUGGCCGGCUUUGCCAUUUACACGUUCCUGGCUGUGCGCCCAGCAGUCCUUACGCUGCCCUUACUGCAGACGCAUGCUCAGACCUUUCCCAGGGGGCAGACAGGGUGUCAGGGGAGCCAGGGACUGGAACAGCUGGGAUGCCACUGGGUGUGUCUGAGGCUCAGGGCUAACGCUAACCCUUGCGCUUGGAAUCUGCUGGAAGCAGUGGGAACGGGAGAGAGCACAGCACCGCCUCCCCAGGAAGUGGGGGUUAUGGUAGACUGGAGUCUCCGGCCCUUGCUCAGCUGUUCCCAGCCCCCACAGCACAUCUGCCCUUCCUGGGGGGCCAUGACUGCCCCCCAAUCGGAAACCAUGCCCCGAACACCUUCUGCAUGUUCCUUGGAGAGAGACUAAGAGCUGGGAGCUGACAGCUGGAGAUGAGAACCAGGCCAAAUCUGGCCCAUACAUGUUUUCUUUGGCCUGCAGAAUGUUUUUAAAUUUUUUAGCCAACAGUAAAAGGUCAGGUGAUUUCAUGUAAAAAUCCGUAUUUCCGCUCCUCCUGUAACUUCGGAUGACCUGAUCAUAUCAGGUCCACGUUCCCGCAUGUGACAAGAGGAACGGGUGGAGCCGAUGGGUAGUAUUGCUACAGGCCUCUGGGCAUCACUGUCCGUCACUCCCUGGCUCUGAGUCACCACCUCUGAUCUAUAGGACACUACACUGGGUUCUCGAGGCUCCACAGCCUCCACCAGACCCCCGAUACAUGGCAGCCAAAGCUCUUGGAGCCCCUUUUGGGCCUCUUUCUCGGGCCCUGGUUCAUGUCCUUCUGUCCACCCAGCAGGUUUCCCUCCAUCAUCCUUUGGUGAAUGUUUUCAAGUAGUUCAUAAAUGUGACCCUUGCUGAUGUCCCAGUCAGGACCCUAUGGGUUCCGGUCUGGAUCAGAGUUCUGGGGACUGCCCAACAGGAUGCAGCCGAGAGAACCAGGCACAAAACAAUGUUGGGGCGACUAUGGACUCGUGAGGACGGCGGCCAGCUUCGCAGACACGGGUUCAUCCUGGCAGAAAAGCCUUUCACCCUUGCCGGCAGGGUGUCACUGACCAAGUACAGCCACAACAAGAAGCAGCAACACCUGGAGCCGCCAAAGAAGCCCCAGCUAGGGACAUGGGCUCUGCACGACAUGGCAAAGGCCUUACUGUCCUCAUGACCCCAGCUCUCUAAGCCAAAAGGGCAGCCCAGUGUCAUCUAGAGAUGUGACUUGCUGUCCCCAUGCGUGCAGCACUGGUGGCCCGACCAUUCUGACACCCCUAAGGGCCACUGAUUUGAUGUGUGCUGGCCCAUGAUAGAGGGGACACAAAAUGGGAAAUGGAGCCUGAGACUCAAGAUGCCCCCCCCCCCCGCAAGACACUGGGGCGGCGAGAAGGGGAGACUAUGGAAGAGCCCCACCCUGGACCUCCUCAGCCUCCACAGAGUGCUGCUGAUGGGCAUGGGAAGCCUGGGGACACACACAGCCAAGCAAGGCGUCCCAGACUUGGCCCCACACUGUUCCCAAGCCAGGGGUCGGUGACUUCCAUCCCCAGCUGUACUAGGCACAAGAUGGCACUGUCACACCCAAGAGGGGCCCCAGAGACCCCUCCGGGGUUGUCGCCUUCCUGUGCUUCCUUAGUCAAGUACCACCCUGAAGCCACCACGGUAUGGUGGCACCUCCCGGUGUGGCCAGCCUCGAGGGCUGCUCUGUCCCGCAAACUCAGGAAACUUCCCAUCUGGAGCCCAGAUUCAAAUUCGAGUCCUGCUGUGUUUUCCUAGCUAUGGUUUCACAUCCCUGAGCCUCAGAGAAACGACUGAUGAUGAUGAUAAUAAUAAAAACAACCAGUGCCACCUGA
This is a long non-coding RNA of Cavia porcellus (domestic guinea pig), 3822 nucleotides long. RefSeq lists it as uncharacterized. The record is from RefSeq and is a predicted model, not a curated record. Lineage: Eukaryota; Metazoa; Chordata; Mammalia; Rodentia; Caviidae. The transcript is spliced from 2 exons.